RNAcentral lists this long non-coding RNA (376 nucleotides) under Brassica napus (rape). RNAcentral describes it as "long non-coding RNA (BNAP_LNC007494)". Lineage: Eukaryota; Viridiplantae; Streptophyta; Magnoliopsida; Brassicales; Brassicaceae. The record is from RNAcentral.
GUGUUUGAGCUGUUGGGCUAUUGCAGUGGAGUAAUCUGCGAGAUUGUAGAGAGAGAGAGAGAGAGGUAAGGGUUGUUGUCGGGUUAAGAAGAAGAGAGCAAUGGAUCACGGGUCUGGUUUAAUUAUUUCUUUUUUUGGUUCAACAAAUUUGGUUUAAUAAAUUUUUUUUAAAAAUGGUUUAACUGGUUAAUAUUGUUGGGUAAACUGUAAACCGAUUUAAACCAUAGUUCAUGUAUAAUUAAAUUUGAAACUAUCGGUUUGGGGAGAAAUAAAAUUUUAACUUUUAAUUCGGGGGAAAAUACGUUUUCAAUAUUCAAUUCAUGGAUAUUUAGUACGAGGUCAUAGUUUGGUGGAUAUCUGAUGCUAUACGAUAGUU